RNAcentral lists this ribosomal RNA (551 nucleotides) under uncultured bacterium. RNAcentral describes it as "bacterial SSU rRNA". It matches the Rfam family "Bacterial small subunit ribosomal RNA", at positions 374 to 917 of the family's 1533-position model. The record is from RNAcentral.
GGGGGAACCCUGAUCNAGCAUGCCGCGUGUGUGAAGAAGGCCUUCGGGUUGUAAAGCACUUUUAUCCGGAACGAAACGCGCAGGGUGAAUAGCCUUGCGAACUGACGGUACCGGAGGAAUAAGCACCGGCUAACUUCGUGCCAGCAGCCGCGGUAAUACGAAGGGUGCAAGCGUUACUCGGAAUUACUGGGCGUAAAGGGUGCGUAGGUGGUUUUUUAAGUCCGUUGUGAAAUCCCUGGGCUCAACCUGGGAAUGGCAGUGGAUACUGGAAAGCUAGAGUGCGGUAGAGGGUAGUGGAAUUCCCGGUGUAGCAGUGAAAUGCGUAGAGAUCGGGAGGAACACCAGUGGCGAAGGCGGCUACCUGGACCAGCACUGACACUGAGGCACGAAAGCGUGGGGAGCAAACAGGAUUAGAUACCCUGGUAGUCCACGCCCUAAACGAUGCGAACUGGACGUUGGGUGCAACUUGGCACUCAGUGUCGAAGCUAACACGUUAAGUUCGCCGCCUGGGGAGUACGGUCGCAAGACUGAAACUCAAAAAAAUUGACGGA